GAACUAUGCACCACUCCAAAAAAUAGUCUUUGAUCUGAUUUCCACUACCACAGAGACUUAUUUUCCAGUUUCCUUCCAUUUGAAGAAAUCGACAACUCUGUGAUCUUCUUAUACUCAG
RNAcentral lists this small RNA (118 nucleotides) under Arabidopsis thaliana (thale cress). RNAcentral's name for it is "ATSL301580". Lineage: Eukaryota; Viridiplantae; Streptophyta; Magnoliopsida; Brassicales; Brassicaceae. The record is from RNAcentral.